This 1235-nucleotide ribosomal RNA is filed under the name metagenome. Its description in RNAcentral is "bacterial LSU rRNA". It matches the Rfam family "Bacterial large subunit ribosomal RNA", at positions 1564 to 2808 of the family's 2925-position model. The record is from RNAcentral.
UGAAUACGAGAUGCUACGGCGUCGAAGCAGUGUAUGUCAGACUUCCAAGAAAAGCUCGCAAUGUCAUAAAUAAAGAAUGCCUGUACCAUAACCGACACAGGUGGGUAGGUAGAGUAUACUAAGGGGCGCGAGAUAACUCUCUCUAAGGAACUCGGCAAAAUAACUCCGUAACUUCGGGAGAAGGAGUGCCUUCUUUAAGAAGGUUGCAAUAACAAGAUCCAAGCAACUGUUUAUCAAAAACACAGGUCUCCGCUAAGUCGUAAGACGAUGUAUGGGGGCUGACGCCUGCCCAGUGCCAGAAGGUUAAAGAAGUUGGUUAGCUUUUGCGAAGCUGAUGACUGAAGCCCUGGUGAACGGCGGCCGUAACAAUAACGGUCCUAAGGUAGCGAAAUUCCUUGUCGGGUAAGUUCCGACCCGCACGAAAGGCGUAAUGAUUUGGAUACUGUCUCGGAGAGGGACUCGGUGAAAUAGACUUGUCUGUGAAGAUGCGGACUACCUGCACCAGGACAGAAAGACCCUAUGAAGCUUUACUGUAACUUGAAAUUGAAAUUGGACUUUAUUUGCGCAGUAUAGGUGGAAGGCGUUGAAAGUAAUCUUGCGGGAUUAGUGGAGCCAUCAGUGAGAUACCACUCCUAUAAUGUUAGAUUUCUAACUUUGGAUCAUGAUCUGGUCAAAGAACAGUUUCAGGCGGGCAGUUUGACUGGGGCGGUCGCCUCCCAAAUGGUAACGGAGGCGUACAAAGGUUUCCUCUGAACGGGUAGAAAUCGUAUCUAGAGUGUAAAGGCAUAAGGAAGCUUGACUGUGAGACCUACAAGUCGAGCAGGGACGAAAGUCGGUCUUAGUGAUCUGACGGUGCUGAGUGGAAAGGCCGUCACUCAACGGAUAAAAGUUACUCUAGGAUAACAGGCUGAUCUCCCCCAAGAGUUCACAUCGACGGGGAGGUUUGGCACCUCGAUGUCGGCUCAUCGCAUCCUGGGGCGGUAGUACGUCCCAAGGGUUGGGCCGUUCGCCCAUGAAAGCGGUACGCGAGCUGGGUUCAGAACGUCGUGAGACAGUUCGGUCCAUAUCCGGUGUAGGCGUUAGAAUAUUGAGAGGAGCCUUCUUUAGUACGAGAGGACCGAGAAGGACAUACCUCUGGUGUACCAGUUAUCGUGCCAACGGUAAACGCUGGGUAGCUAUGUAUGGAGAGGAUAACCGCUGAAAGCAUCUAAGUGGGAAGCCCACCUCAAGAUGAG